UGGGGAAUUUUGCGCAAUGGGGGAAACCCUGACGCAGCAACGCCGCGUGCGGGACGAAGGCCUUAGGGUCGUAAACCGCUUUCAGCAGGGACGAAACUGACUGUACCUGCAGAAGAAGCUCCGGCUAACUACGUGCCAGCAGCCGCGGUAAUACGUAGGGAGCAAGCGUUAUCCGGAUUUAUUGGGCGUAAAGCGCGCGUAGGCGGCUUGUUAAGUCAGGUGUGAAAGCCGGGGGCUCAACCCGCGGAUUGCAUCUGAAACUGGCAGGCUUGAGUGUGGUAGAGGAAAGUGGAAUUCCCGGUGUAGCGGUGAAAUGCGCAGAUAUCGGGAGGAACACCAGUGGCGAAGGCGGCUUUCUGGGCCACUACUGACGCUGAGGCGCGAAAGCUAGGGGAGCGAACA
This 402-nucleotide ribosomal RNA is filed under the name uncultured Coriobacteriaceae bacterium. RNAcentral describes it as "partial 16S ribosomal RNA". It matches the Rfam family "Bacterial small subunit ribosomal RNA", at positions 355 to 774 of the family's 1533-position model. The record is from RNAcentral. Lineage: Bacteria; Bacillati; Actinomycetota; Coriobacteriia; Coriobacteriales; Coriobacteriaceae.